CUGGGAAACUGCCUGAUGGAGGGGGAUAACUAUUGGAAACGAUAGCUAAUACCGCAUAACAAUGGAUGACACAUGUCAUUUAUUUGAAAGGAGCAAUUGCUCCACUACAAGAUGGACCUGCGUUGUAUUAGCUAGUAGGUGAGGUAAUGGCUCACCUAGGCGACGAUACAUAGCCGACCUGAGAGGGUGAUCGGCCACACUGGGACUGAGACACGGCCCAGACUCCUACGGGAGGCAGCAUG
Molecule: ribosomal RNA, 242 nt
Filed under: uncultured bacterium
Lineage: Bacteria
Description: partial 16S ribosomal RNA
Rfam family: Bacterial small subunit ribosomal RNA
Source: RNAcentral